GGCGCGAGGGGCGGGCCCGGCGCCGGGAGCUGCGCGCCAGGUGGCCCCCGGCAGGGAAAGGCGCGCCCGCCAGGUGUGUCCCGCGCGGGAGGACGGCGGGCGGACACAGGCGGAGCGAGUCUCCCCGUCGCGGGUGGUUGUCUGGGCGGACGUCUUCGGUGGCCUGAUCGCCGCUGGAAUAACUUCAAUCGCUUCCAGGGAGGAGCUGGCCACGUGAGACCCUCUGGCUCCAGGAGGUGCCCGAGAGAGCGAGAGGAAUGAGCGCCACUGGGUUAGGGUCUCCCCGACUGAGCUGGUCUCAGCAAGUGACGUCCAUCGUGGGGGCUCGAAUCCAGGUCAAAGGGUCACCAGAGCAACAGUUGGAACAGAAAACUAGCUGGAGGACACCCGAGUACUCUUAAAGCAAUCCCCGUGGCCAAAAUCAACAGCCAAUCUGGAUACCAUCAAGACAUCUCAAACCUUAUCACAAGCCAGAUGCCAAGGGAGAGACUCCGGGAAGAUCCCAAGGACCCCCCCGUUGCAGCCAUGUCGAGACUAACACUGAGGAGGACCCCAACUGUCACGAGCAACACCCGUCGAACACAGUCACCCACCUGGGGACAGAUCAAGAAGAUGUCACAGAUGGCAGAAGAAAACCUGAGGAAAGCGGGACAGCCAGUCACAAUGAAUAAUGUAAUGGUAGCUAUGAUAGCAGUUAUCACCACUGCCAUGAGUAUUCCUUCAAUAAGGGCUGUCUGCAGAUGUGGAUCCUGACUCCUGUGAGAAGUAGCUCACCAUGACAAAGCUGCCCUUGCUUUUAUCGAUUUGCAAAUCAGAGAAGGGAGACAUGUUGGGAGCAGCACCCCCCCCAAAAUCUGGCCAUAAACUGGCCCCAAGACUGGCCAUGAACUAAAUCUCUGCAGCACUGUAACAUGUUCAUAAUGGCCCUAACGCCCACGCUGGAAGUUCGUGGGUUUAUGGGAAUGAGGGCAAGGAACACCUGGCCCGCCCAGGGUGGAAAACCACUUAAAGGCAUUCUUAAGCCACAAAU
Non-coding RNA from Macaca mulatta (Rhesus monkey), 1030 nucleotides. The record is from RefSeq and is a predicted model, not a curated record. Lineage: Eukaryota; Metazoa; Chordata; Mammalia; Primates; Cercopithecidae.